Molecule: ribosomal RNA, 253 nt
Filed under: uncultured bacterium
Lineage: Bacteria
Description: partial 16S ribosomal RNA
Rfam family: Bacterial small subunit ribosomal RNA
Source: RNAcentral
UACGAAGGGUGCAAGCGUUACUCGGAAUUACUGGGCGUAAAGCGUGCGUAGACGGUUAUGUAAGUCAGGUGUGAAAGCCCCGGGCUCAACCUGGGAAUUGCAUUUGAGACUGCAUAGCUAGGGUGCGGAAGAGGGAAGCGGAAUUUCCGGUGUAGCGGUGAAAUGCGUAGAUAUCGGAAGGAACAUCAGUGGCGAAAGCGGCUUCCUGGUCCAGCACCGACGUUCAGGCACGAAAGCGUGGGGAGCAAACAGG